AUGGCUCAGGACGAACGCUGGCGGCGUGCUUAACACAUGCAAGUCGAGCGGUAAGGCUCCUUCGGGAGUACACGAGCGGCGAACGGGUGAGUAACACGUGAGCAAUCUGCCCUUCACUCUGGGAUAAGCCUGGGAAACUGGGUCUAAUACCGGAUAUGACUUCGGAACGCAUGUUCUGGAGUGGAAAGUUCUGGCGGUGAAGGAUGAGCUCGCGGCCUAUCAGCUUGUUGGUGGGGUAAUGGCCUACCAAGGCGACGACGGGUAGCCGGCCUGAGAGGGUGACCGGCCACACUGGGACUGAGACACGGCCCAGACUCCUACGGGAGGCAGCAGUGGGGAAUAUUGGACAAUGGGCGAAAGCCUGAUCCAGCAACGCCGCGUGAGGGAUGACGGCCUUCGGGUUGUAAACCUCUUUCAGCAGGGACGAAGCGCAAGUGACGGUACCUGCAGAAGAAGCACCGGCCAACUACGUGCCAGCAGCCGCGGUAAUACGUAGGGUGCGAGCGUUGUCCGGAAUUAUUGGGCGUAAAGGGCUCGUAGGCGGUUUGUCGCGUCGGGAGUGAAAACUCAGGGCUCAACCCUGUUCGUGCUUCCGAUACGGGCAAACUAGAGGUAGGCAGGGGAGAACGGAAUUCCUGGUGUAGCGGUGGAAUGCGCAGAUAUCAGGAGGAACACCGGUGGCGAAGGCGGUUCUCUGGGCCUAUUCUGACGCUGAGGAGCGAAAGCAUGGGGAGCGAACAGGAUUAGAUACCCUGGUAGUCCAUGCCGUAAACGUUGGGCGCUAGGUGUGGGACUCAUUCCACGAGUUCCGUGCCGCAGCUAACGCAUUAAGCGCCCCC
This 839-nucleotide ribosomal RNA is filed under the name Nocardioidaceae bacterium MOLA 1448. RNAcentral describes it as "bacterial SSU rRNA". It matches the Rfam family "Bacterial small subunit ribosomal RNA", at positions 19 to 871 of the family's 1533-position model. The record is from RNAcentral. Lineage: Bacteria; Bacillati; Actinomycetota; Actinomycetes; Propionibacteriales; Nocardioidaceae.